Molecule: ribosomal RNA, 497 nt
Filed under: uncultured bacterium
Lineage: Bacteria
Description: partial 16S ribosomal RNA
Rfam family: Bacterial small subunit ribosomal RNA
Source: RNAcentral
GACGAACGCUGGCGGCGUGCCUAAUACAUGCAAGUUGAGCGCUGAAGGUUGGUACUUGUACCAACUGGAUGAGCAGCGAACGGGUGAGUAACGCGUGGGGAAUCUGCCUUUGAGCGGGGGACAACAUUUGGAAACGAAUGCUAAUACCGCAUAAAAACUUUAAACACAAGUUUUAAGUUUGAAAGAUGCAAUUGCAUCACUCAAAGAUGAUCCCGCGUUGUAUUAGCUAGUUGGGGAGGUAAAGGCUCACCAAGGCGAUGAUACAUAGCCGACCUGAGAGGGUGAUCGGCCACAUUGGGACUGAGACACGGCCCAAACUCCUACGGGAGGCAGCAGUAGGGAAUCUUCGGCAAUGGACGAAAGUCUGACCGAGCAACGCCGCGUGAGUGAAGAAGGUUUUCGGAUCGUAAAACUCUGUUGGUAGAGAAGAACGUUGGUGAGAGUGGAAAGCUCAUCAAGUGACGGUAACUACCCAGAAAGGGACGGCUAACUACGUG